GUAUGACUUCUCGGUUGACGUUCUCAUCUUGUUUACGUGUGUUAAAUGAGGCAGUAGUGCAACCUGAAUAUAUAAACUGAAAGCUUGAUUAAUCUCACGAAAUGCAACGAUCAAUAAUUCACCAAACUAAGUUAAAGACAGCCGAUACAUAACGAACGAUAACAAUCCAUGUGUUAAAAAGAAAUGGUAUAGUCGGUUUAAAUCGAACCUUACGAUAUAUUGCCGGAGAUUGUCGACGAAGUUUUUAUUACCCAAACGACUUUUAAUAACACGGAUAUUGACUUUGCGAUUGGGCAGUGAAGACUUCCCGUUCUGCAAAUACGGUUUACAAUAUGGAAAGCAGUGGAGAGUCCUUAACUGAGUAUGCUGUUAAUAUGCUUAACAUGGAUCUUUCUGGCCUAAGUGACGUUGAGAUGGGGAUCAUAGAAGAUGAAACUGCAGCCAAAGAUAUCAGUAA
This is a long non-coding RNA of Dreissena polymorpha, 457 nucleotides long. RefSeq lists it as uncharacterized. The transcript has 3 exons. Lineage: Eukaryota; Metazoa; Mollusca; Bivalvia; Myida; Dreissenidae. The record is from RefSeq and is a predicted model, not a curated record.